GUCCUGAACAAGGCUCUUAAGGACUUCCACUGGUCAUUGCAUGUGGGGUUCCAAAUAACCGAUAUACGUUCAAGUUCAUGGCUUUUCCGGGGAAUCACUUUACUUUGCCAUCUGGCAGAAAGCAAACGAUCGUGAUUUUUCAGAAUUUCAGUAGCUGCAGCAGGGGAAGAGCCAACAACAACGACUUGCGUACCGAGCCUCAAUGAAAUCAGAGGGCCAUGAACUUUGGCAAAG
Molecule: unclassified non-coding RNA, 234 nt
Filed under: Hevea brasiliensis (rubber tree)
Lineage: Eukaryota; Viridiplantae; Streptophyta; Magnoliopsida; Malpighiales; Euphorbiaceae
Source: RNAcentral